Molecule: ribosomal RNA, 253 nt
Filed under: uncultured bacterium
Lineage: Bacteria
Description: partial 16S ribosomal RNA
Rfam family: Bacterial small subunit ribosomal RNA
Source: RNAcentral
UACGUAGGGUGCAAGCGUUAAUCGGAAUUACUGGGCGUAAAGCGUGCGCAGGCGGUUCCGUAAGAUAGAUGUGAAAUCCCAGGGCUUAACCCUGGAACUGCGUUUGAAACUGCUGGUCUUGAGUACCGGAGAGGUCAUCGGAAUUCCUUGUGUAGCGGUGAAAUGCGUAGAUAUAAGGAAGAACACCAGUGGCGAAGGCGGAUGACUGGACGGCAACUGACGGUGAGGCGCGAAAGCGUGGGGAGCAAACAGG